Long non-coding RNA from Dama dama (fallow deer), 8580 nucleotides. RefSeq lists it as uncharacterized. Lineage: Eukaryota; Metazoa; Chordata; Mammalia; Artiodactyla; Cervidae. The transcript is spliced from 3 exons. The record is from RefSeq and is a predicted model, not a curated record.
UCUGUUGGGUUGUUAUUUUUUCACGGUGGCUGCCUGCCAGAUAUUGGUGAUUUCUAAUUGUAGCUCAUCUCUGUGGUUUGGAUCCUUUGCCAGAUCCUUUACACUGCCAGGCCCUCAGCCAUCCUUGUGGGAGCUGGAGAAACGGCUAUUGAGAGUUAAAUUCUUCAAUGAAGAAUGCAAUGAAAAGCAAGGUGAAAAAAUCAAGGGUGUAUACAUGUAUCCCACAUUCAGGGUGUGACUGUUUGUAAGCAGAUGUGCCUUCAGAUGGCCCACCAGGUCUGCAGAGUCUACAGAAAAAUGAAAGAUCACUGCAUACCGAGUAUCAUCUCAACUCAGAGACAUCCCUGCCACGCGGCACACAGAUUUAUAACUCUGGGCAAAGGUUUCAACAAAUAUGAUUUCUUCAGUCCAAAGUCCAUCUAUGUGCAUUGCCUGAAAUACAGAGCAGUCUGUGAUUGUCUGCUAGUCUCUAAUCCCAGGAGCCUUGGCAGCCGAGGCAGGAUGAGUUCCUAAAACUCUGGAGACAGAGAUGGCUCACACAGGCUGGUGCUUGUGUAGGGGUGUUCAUGCAAUUUAUUGCUCUUUUUUCGAACUGACAUAGUGUCUACACCGACACAGCCCAGAAAAAAGAAACUAUUGUAAAUGAAAGAUCUAAAAUUUGUCUAUUGUAAAGGAAAAGAUCAUAACCCAAAGAUUUGAUGAAAACAUGCUCCUUAUCCAGACAGUCCACUGUAAUGUUUCAAUUGAAGAGUUUCACUCAGAGAAGGAGAAUGGGUUCAAACAAACAAACAAAAGACAACAAGAUCCAGGGGUUAGGUUUGAUGGUCUUAAACACACAAGGACGAAGACAAAACUUCUGAUUCCAUAUCGGCGACCUGGGUACAUGACCUGGGAUGUACCCAGGUCAGAAUCUUCAAAGGCUAUAUUUCGCUUUUCCAUCCACCUCUUCCAUGAAGACAGGCAAUAGGGAGGUACUUGAAUUUUUUCAUGUCCUAUGGCUGUCACUGAGCAAUUUGUUUCUUAAGUAUCUCCCAUGAACAUGGCUGAAAUAACAAGUAAAACUCACCCAGGUGCCCAAUUGGAGCAAUGUACUUCUAACGUCCAAAGUCCAUGUGAAAAUGUUAUCUGAAAAAUAUUUGACAUGAUGCAAUGAUACUAAACUCACUCUAAUGAGCAGUCCUGUAAAAGGCAUCCAUUUUGGAGCCCAGGCCAGAUACGAGUGAAACUCAGUAGUAAGAAGGACAAUCUGACUUUACCACAAGGUCUUACGGCAGAGUCCUGGUAUGGUGUUAACCUUUGGAUUACCCAAUCUUGGGAAGGAGCCAAAACUGGCCUGUAGAACGCCUGAAAAUGAAACACUACCCAUCAUAGGUGGGAAAGUACGUCUGCCUAAGUAACUCUGAUAAGAGGCCCUCGAAAAUGGAAAACCACAAAAACGCCAAUACUAUAGCUCUUGAGAAGUUCCUUGUUUAGUGGGAAAAGGAGAUAAAAUAUAAAAUGCUUGGGACUUCCCUAGAGGCCCAGUGAUUAAGAAUCUACCUGCCAAUGCAGGGGACAUGGGUUCAAUCCAUAUUCUGAGAAGAUUCUGCAUGCCUCAAGAGAACUAAGCUCAUCUGUUAGAACUACUGAAGCCUGUGUUUCUAGAGCCUGUGCUCCAUAACAAGAGAGGCCACCACAAGGAGAAGCCCAGGAAUCAGAAGUAGAAAAAGCCUGUGUAUAGCAAGGCAGACCCAGUGCAGCCAAAUAAAUUAAAAAAAAUUUUUUUUUAAUGUUGUUUUUGUUGUUCAGUAGCGUCUGACUCUGCAACCCCAUGGACUGUAGAACAUAGGGCUUCUCUGUCCAUCAACUCCCAGCACUUGCUCAAACUCAUGUGCAUUGAGUUGGUAAUGCCGUCCAACCAUCUUGUCCUCUGACAUUCCCUUCUCCUCCUGCCUUCAGUCUUUCCCAGCAUCAGGGUCUUUUCUAAUUAGUGGGCUUUUCGCAUCAGGUGGCCAAAGUACUGGAGCUUCAGCUUCAGCAUCAGUCCUUCCAAUGAAUAUUCAGGAUUGAUCUCCUUUAGGUUUGAGCUGUUUGAUCUCCUUGCUGUCCAAGGGACUCCCAAGAGUUGUCUCCAAUAUCACAGUUUGAAAGCAUCAGUUCUUCAGUGCUCAGCUUUCUUUAUGGUUCAACUCUCACAUCCACACAUGACUACUGGAAAAACUAUAGCUUUCACUAUACAGACCUUUGUUGGCAAGGUGAUGUCUCUGCUCUUUAAUACAGUGUCUAGGUUUGUCAUAGCUUUUCUCCCAAGGAGCAAGCAUCUUUUAAUUAAUUGCAUAUAGUCACCAUCUGCAGUGAUUUUGGAGUCCAAGAGUAUAAAGUCUGUCACUGUUUUCACUGGUUCUCCAUCUAUUUGCCAUCAAAUGAUGGGGCCACAUGCCAUGAUCUUCGUUUUCUGAAUGCUGAGCUUUAAGCCAACUUUUUCACUCUCCUCAUCAAGAGGUUCUUUAGUUCCCCUUUACUUUCUGCCAUAAGGGUGGUGUCAUCUAUGUAUCUGAGGUUGUUGAUAUUUCUCCCUUGCAAUCUUGAGUCCAGCUUGUGUUUCAUUCAGCCCAGUAUUUCACAUGUACUCUACAUAUAAAUUAAAUAAGCAGGGUGACAAUAUACAGCCUUGACAUACUCCUUUCCCAAUCUGGAACCAGUCUAUUGUUCCAUGUCUGGUUCUAACUGUUGCUUCUUGACCUGUAUACAGAUUUCUCAGGAGGCAGGUAAGAUAGUUUGGUAUUCCCAUCUCUUGAAGAAUUUCUCACCAUCUGUUGUGAUUCAUACAGUUAAAAGCUUUAGCAUAGUCAAUGAAGCUGACGUAAAUAUUUUUCUGGAAUUCUCUUGCUUUUUCUAUGAUCCAAUGGAUGUUCAUAUUUGAUCUCUGGUUCCUCUGCCUUUUCUAAAUGCAGCUUGAACAUCUGGGAGUUCUUGGUUCAUGUACUGUUGAAGCCUACCUUGGAGGAUUUUGAACAUUACUUUGCUAGUGUGUGAGAUGAGUGCAAUUGUGCCAUGGUUGGAACAUUAUUUGGCAUUCACUUUCUUUGAUAUUGGAAUGAAAACUGACUUUUCCAGUCCUGUGGCCACUGCCUGAAUUUCCCAAAUUUGCUGGCCUAUUGAGGGCAGCGCUUUCACAACAUCAUUUUUUAGGAUUUGAAAUAGCUCAACUGGAAUUCCAUCACCUCCACUAGCUUGGUUUGUAGUGAUGCUUCCUAAGGCCCACUUGACCUCACACUCCAAGAUGUCUGGCUCUAGGUGAGUGACUGCACCAUCAUGGUUAUCCGCGUCAUUAAAAUAUUUUUUGAAUAGUUCUUCUGUGUGUUCUUGCCACCUCUUCUUGGUAUCUUCUGCUUCUGUUAGGUCCAUACCAUUUCUGUCCUUUGUUGUGCCCAUCUUUGCACAAAGUGUUCACUUGGUCUCUCUAAUUUUCCUGGAGAGAUCUCUAGUUUUUCCCAUUCUUUUGUUUUCCUCUAUUUCUUUUCAUGGCAUGGCAACCCACUUCAGUACUCCUGCCUAGAAAAUCCCAUGGUAGAGGAGUCUGGCAGGCCACAGUCCAUGGGGUCUCAAAGAGUUGGACAUGACUGAAAGACAGCAUGCACAUACACGGAAACAUUUACAUUUCCUGUAAAGUUAUCUGAGUUGGGUGAGCUGAACGUUGGAGAAUGGGCUCUAUCUGGCUGCUUGAAGAGCUCAAGGCCAUAAAAGUGUGUACUGUCAUUUUCUUUUUUUAUAUGUUUAUUUAUUUAUUUGGCUUUGCUGGGUCUUAGUUAUGGCUAAUAGGAUCUUUCAGUCUUUAGUUGUCACAUGUGAACUGUUAGUUGUGGCACAUGGGAUCUGGUUCCCUAACCAGGGAUUGAACCCAGGCCUCUGGCAUUGGGAGUGUGGAGUCUUAACCACUGGACCACCAGGGAAGUUCUUAAAUGUCGUCUUCUAACUGCCUGGUAAAGCUGUUUAUCUUUCAUGGGUUAGUACUUUAUAUCCAGGACAGGGUCUGCCUAAAUCAUGAAAAAACCCAGUUGUGUAUUAGAAACUUCUUAUCCUUCUUUCUUUUCUAAUUGGAAAUAUUAAUGGGUCAAUUAUUGCUUUGGACUCAAGAGGGAAAAUAAGCUCAGAAAAGACAAACUGCAGGCUGGGGUUAUGCCAAGUGUAUCCUCUGGAUGUCUUAUAGUGGGUUUCUUAAGAGAGGCAUGAUUUGUUGUUCAGUAAGGGCCACACUCUAGGAUUUUACCCUGAGUCUGGACACAGUGCAGGAUCACUUCAGUUAUCUUGGAAAUGAAAGUGGUGGUAGCCAGUGGAGAGACUCUUUUGGAGUAAGACAGUAACAUUAUCUAAAGUCACUUCCAGUUUGUAGAUAAAUAAAUAUGCACCAACUGAUAGGAUCAUGCAGAUUUUCUCAUCAGACCUGCUAAUGUAGUAAAUGAAAUAGUUUUUAAUAGCUCUAUUGAGAUAUAAUUCACAUACUAUACAAUUCACCCAAUUAAAGGAUAUGAUUCAAUAACUUUUAGCAUAAUCACAUAAUUGUGUAGCCAUCACCACAAUCUAAUUUUAGAAUAUUUUCAUCACACCAGAAAGAAACCUUGUAUCUGUUAGCUAUCACCAUCCAAUGUCCCCAUUUCACGCCCAGCCCUAAGAAAUCACUAAUCUACUUUCUGUCUCGAUUGAUCUGCCUACUACAGACAUUUCAUAUAAAUAGAAUUAUAUAAUAUUAUGAUAUUUUGUGACUGCCUUCUUUAAUUUAUCACAGUGUUUUCAAGGUUCAUCCUGUUGUGGCAUCUAACAAGGGCUCAUUCUUUGUUAUUGCCAAAAAAGUUCCUUUGUACGACUAUAAUACCCUUUGUUUUAUUGAGUUAUCAUUGAUUGGACACUUAGAUUAUUUCCACUGUUUGGCUACUAUGAAUAAUGUGGCUAUGCAGCACUAUAGCUAAGACAUGGGGACAAUGUAAGUAUCUAUCAACAGAUGACCAAGUAUCUAUCAACAGAUAAAGAAGAUGUGGCAUAUCAUUCAACCUUAAAAGAAGAUGUGGAAUAUCAUUCAACCUUAAAAAAGAGGAAAUCCUACCAAUAGUAACAACAUAAAUGGACCUUGAGAACAUUAUGUUAAGUGAGAUAAGGCAGAAAAAAACAAGUACCAUAUGAUCUAACUUAUAUGUAGAACCUAAAAAACAAACAAACUUAUAGAAAAAGAGGUCAGAUUUGUGGUUUCCAGAGGUGGGGUUGGGGGAGAAUGGAUGAAGGUGGUCAAAAGGUACAAACUUUCAGUUAUAAGAUAAAUAAAUACUAGGGAUGUGAUCUAAAACAUGAUGAUAGUUACAUUGCUAUAUGAUAUGUGUGAAAGUUAAGAGAAUGACUCCUAAGAGUUCUCAUCAUAAGGAAAAACUUUUUCUUCCUCUUUUUCUUGUCUUUGGUAUCUGUAUGAGAUGAUGGAUAUUAACUAAACUAUUGUGGUAAUCACUUCACAAUGCCUGUAAGUCAAAUCAUUAUGCUGUAUACCUUAAACUUAUACAAUGCAGUUAAUUAAUUGUAUAAGUAAAAACUUAUACAAUAUGUUAAUUAUGGGCUUCCCUGGUGGUUCAGAUGGUAAAGAAUCUGACUGCAAUGUAGGAGACCUGGGUUCUAUCCCUGGGUCAGGAAUAUCCCCUGGAGAAGGGAAUGGCUACCCACUCCAGUAUUCUUUCCUGGAGGAUUCCAUGGACAGAGGAGUUUGGUGGGCUACAGUCCAUGGGGGCACAGAGUUGGACAUGACUGAGUGACUAACACACACACACACAUGUUAAUUACACCACAAUAAAAAUGGAAAAAAUGCAGCUCAGCUCAGCUCAUUUCAGUUGCUCAGUUGUGUCUGACUCUUUGCGACCCAUGGACUGCAGCAUGCCAGGCUUCCCUGUUCAUCACCAACUCCCAGAGCUUGCUCAAACUCAUGUCCAUCGAGUUGGUGAUGCCAUCCAACCAUCUCAUCUUCUGUUGUCUCCUUCUCCUUCUGCCUUCAAACCUUCCAGCAUUAGGGCCUUUUCCAAUGAGUCAGUUCUUUAUAUCACGUGGCUGAAGUACUGGAGUUUCAGCUUCAGCAUCAGUCCUUCCAAUGAAUAUUCAGGACUGAUUUCCUUUAGGAUUGACUUGAUGGAUCUCCUUGCAGUCCAAGGGACUCUCAAGAGUCUUCUCCAACACUAUGAACAUUCAUGCUCAAGUAUUUGCAUGGACAUAUGUUUUUCAACUCUCUUGGUUAUACAUCUACGAGUAGAAUUGCUGGGUCUCUAUUGUAAUUCUAUGUUUAACCUGUCAGGAAUUGAGAAAACCAGAAAACAAUGGAAUUUUUUUCCUAAGAAAAUGUGAAGGACUGGCCAUAAAAGGAGAUCAAGGUUGGGACUGAAAGAGGCUAUCCUCAAGCCAGACUGCCCUAAGUCUAUCAUCUGUAUAUCAAGGGCAGUAACAAAAAGUACUUCAUGGGCAACACAGAAAGCAAAACUGCAAGCAAACUUUCCAGUAGUCCUAACAUCCCAAGAUUUUUUUUUGUUUGUUUUAGAUUCAAACAGGAAGGUAGAUAGAUUUUCUAUUCCUGUAAAUUAUUUCUACAUGGCAUGUCUUAGAAGUACUUCAGGAGAAACUGUGUAGACUUCAUUGCAUAGAGUCAUAUCUGAAUCUUAUAAAGAUGUAUAAGAAAUAUAAUGGCCACUGGUUCUUUGUGGCUUUGGCAAUUAAGUUAAUCAAAAGAAAAUAAUAUUUAACAGUCAUGUCCUCAAUUGUACUAGCCACUUUGCAAGUGCUUAAUACCCACAUGUGACUUGUGGCUACUAUGUUGGGCAUUUCCCUCAUUGCAUAAAGUUCUAUCAGACAGGGUUGUUGUGAAGCAGAGCUCCUAAAAUGGCGGUGAUUUAAUACCCCCUCAAAGAAAUCUGGCAAUGUGUGAAGACAUUUUGAUUUUUUCAACUUGGGGAAGGAAGGGUGCUUCUGUGUCUAGUGGGUAGAGGCCUGGGAUGCUGCCAAACAUCCUAUAAUGCACAGGGGAGUCUCCACAACAACUAGCCAUCCCCAAAUGUCAAUAGCUGCAGGACUGAGAAACUCUGUUCUGAAGCAAGGUUGUCCAAACCGGGGUAGCUUUUUAUCAAAAACAUCAAAAGAAUCACGUGGUCCUCUUUUUAACAAUUCAUAUACCUGAGUCCCACCCCUAAGAUUCUGAUUAAGGAAGUCUGAAGAGAAUCCAGGAAUUUGUGUUGUUCAAAAGCUUUCCAAGUGAUUCUAAUGACUGAGAAGAUUCAAAACUAUUAUGUGAAAGAGUCUGACUCUCAGCUCUUAAUUCAGAGGAAUAUCACCUGGUAAAUAGGAGCAGUACUCCAAGAAUAGAUUAAUGGCUCCAAGGCCAUUACCUCUUCUGUUUAAUUUCUCCAAUUACUUAUUUCUCAAUUAAUGGGGUCAUUAAGCACUUAAGAGUUGCAUUAAUGUCUCUCCUCUUUAAAAAAAUUCUUUUAUUCUGUGUAAAUCUAGUUUGCAAAUGAUUACAUUUGCAAACAUGUACAUGUACAUGUACACUUUCUGUUUACAAACAGAACAAAUGACCUAGAAAAAGUCUGGCAGCUGUCUCUGUUCACUGGUGUUUGAUGAGAUAUAGCUGAGCAAACAAGCAUACCAGCCCUGUACGUAGUAUGGCAUGGCAUAUUAAUAUUCAUUCCUUUGCUACCAACUAACUUAAUACAUAGAAGCAGAAUUCAUUUUAAGUGGUUUGAAGUUGCAUAGUUUAAGGUCAAUACAAUUCUUCUAAACUUAGAAAAGUAUAUAAAUGAAUUAAUUUUAGCUUUAAGACAUUUUUUCCUUUUCCAUUUUCUAUUAAUCUGUAAUAAAUUACAAAAAGGGAAUAGUUCUUGCUCUUAAAAAACUUAGGCGGUAGUGGAAAAUGAGACAUAAACACAAGUAUAUGAAAGAAAAAAGAUGUUAAAUAUUUCGAGAGGAUAUAAAUUUGAGAGGAAGAAAUCAUUCUGACUGGAGAGAUCUGGGGAAGUUUUCAAGGAAGUAGAAGCAUUUUCAUUCAUUCAAUAAGUGUUUGCUGGCCCUACCUCAUGCUAGGUCCACCAUAUCUGACAUAAUGUAAACAGCUCAUACAACUCAACAUCGAAAUAAAACCAAACAACCCAAACAAAAAAUGAGCAGAAGAACCAAAUAGACAUUUUAUCCAAAGAGGGAAUGCAGAUGGCCAACAACACAUGGAAAAAUGCUCAACAUCACUAACCAUCAGGAAGUGCAAAUCAAAACCACAGAGAGGUAUCACCUCACACCUAUCUGAAUGGCCAUUAUAAAAACAAAAACUAAAACACGAGUUAACGAAUGUUGGUGAUGAAAUGGAGAAAAGGGAACCCUCUUACACUAUUGGUGGGAAUGUAAAUUAGUGCAGCCACUGUAAAAGCAGAAUGGAGAGGUCUCAAAAAACUAAAAGUAGAACUAUCAUGAUCCAGCAAUUCCACUCCUAGGUAUAUAUUUGAAAAAAAACAAACGCUGAUUCAAAAGAUACAUGCACCCUGGUGUUCACAGUAGUACUAUUUAAAACUGCCAAGGUAUGGAAGCAACCCAAGU